RNAcentral lists this long non-coding RNA (231 nucleotides) under Gossypium barbadense (sea-island cotton). Its description in RNAcentral is "long non-coding RNA (GBAR_LNC000428)". The record is from RNAcentral. Lineage: Eukaryota; Viridiplantae; Streptophyta; Magnoliopsida; Malvales; Malvaceae.
AAUUUAAAAUCAUAGCCGAAUACAUUCAUCAAACACAUAUAUCUUUAACAUUUUUACCAAAAUAAACUCAUCCAUAAUCAAACAUACUAAAGCUCAAAUAUUAAUAAAUCAUAUCAACUUCACUUCCUCUAUAUGCCAUAACUAAAUUUACCUUAAUAACAAUUCACAUAACAAAACCUUAACAAAGCAUAUCAAACAAGAUUCACAUAUAUAUACUUAUAUAUAUAAGCC